GCGGACAGUAACCGAGGUAGAUGGCAGAGCAUCUGCUUCCCAAGCAGAGGGUCACCGGUUCGAAUCCGGUCUGCCGCUCCA
RNAcentral lists this transfer RNA (81 nucleotides) under Chloroflexi bacterium HGW-Chloroflexi-9. Its description in RNAcentral is "tRNA-Gly". The stretch from base 14 to 78 matches the Rfam family "tRNA". Rfam says of the family: Transfer RNA (tRNA) molecules are approximately 80 nucleotides in length. Their secondary structure includes four short double-helical elements and three loops (D, anti-codon, and T loops). The record is from RNAcentral. Lineage: Bacteria; Bacillati; Chloroflexota.